CUCUGUGGUGAGCAGGGUACCUUCUCUCCCUCCUCCAUAUGUGUUAUAGAACAGUGUCCGCGUCCCAUAUACAGUACGCACUCGUAUAUUAGUCUGUCUGAAGAGUUUACGAUUACGACUCCUCCGUGACCCUCAUGGUGUGUAUAGGAAAGUAUAUUACAAGUUACUGCAUUGUGUAACGUAAUUGAUGAAAGCACGGUGGCUACCACACCAUUGUUACUGCCGCCAAGCCCAUCUGGUCACAACCAUCGUCUGGUCUUUCUUCGCCACGACUACCUGUUUCAUCACUAUCACCAUGAAAAAACUGCAUAAAUUCUUGAUAGCGUUGGUAACGUUAACUGUACUAUUAGUUACAAUUUACCUGCUGUCUGUUAACGACGUCCCCAUCACCUUAUUACCAAUGAAAUCAUUCAGACAUGAAGGAACGUUAUUCGGGAUCAGCGAAGAGACGCGAAAUAAUAAGACACAAGAUCCUAUCAUAAAAAGAGGAACACAAAGUGAGGGGAACCCAGAGGCCAAGGAAACCUUGAUGACACACCUACCACCAAAGUCAGGGACUUCUCAGGGCAUUGUUACUGCACGCCAACCACCAAGCUCAGAGACAAUCACCUCUAAAGACAUCAACAGUGUUCAUCUGCCACUACAGCCUGGGGAUUCACAUCUACCAUACGAGGAACUGAAUUUAAAGCAAAUAAAACAAUCACCUGUAGAUCUGUUUAAAGAGACGCCCGAGACCAACGAUGCACUCAACACUAAUAAUAAUCCUCAGUUGAAGAAAAUACUCUUUUGGAAUGAUGGUUACAGUAGCAAGCACUUUGGGUUCGGGUUCGGUCGUGAGCCCUUCUUGCGUGCUGGCUGCCGUGUCAAUACUUGCUUCACCACAGGCGACCGAUCCCGCUUUCCGCUGAAGGAGAUUGACGCUCUUGUGUGGCAUUUUAGAUCAAAUGACAGAUCGCUUCCUACUGUCAGGUCCCCCCAUACCCGCUACGUCUUCUGGAUGAUGGAGUCAGCAUCUUACCUCUACGGCAAUAUUGGCCACUUCAAUAACAUCUUCAAUUGGACAUUUACGUACAGACUCGACUCCGAUUUCCCAAACCCGUACGGGCGUGUCUACCGACGUCGGCAGCCCCUUCAGGAGCCAGAAGAGGAGCGGAACUACGCAGCCAACAAGACCAAGCUGGCAGCCUGGUUUGUGUCCAACUGUUGGACAGUCGGCGGCAGGGAAGAGCUGGUAAAACUGUUAAGGAAAUGGAUCAAGAUUGACCAGUACGGCCAAUGUGGGUCGUUGAGUUGUGUGAGGAAGAACUCCAGUGGAUGUUACUCUAUGCUUGAGAAGAACUACAAAUUCUACUUCUCCUUUGAAAAUUCUCUUUGUCAAGAUUAUGCGACAGAGAAGUUGUUCAAUAUCUUAAGGCUAAACGUGGUACCAGUGGUGUACGGUCUAGGCAAUUACUCGAUGCUGGCGCCACCUCACUCCUACAUCGACGCCCUCAGCUUCCCCACAGCUAAGGCCCUCGCCGAGUACCUCAUCUACCUGGACAAAAACGACACUGCCUACAAUGAGUACUUCAGAUGGAAACGUUUUCAUUGGAUUCCUCACCCUUGGGCGAAUGAAGCCAAGCCGUACUGCGAUUUGUGUGAGCGCCUCCACCAGGACAACACCACCAAAGUGUACAACCUGCAGCAGUGGUUUGUCCAAGACUCUCACUGCAAGUCCAGCUACAGCAAGGACAUAUCUUUGUUCAUAAACGGGUAUAUCAAACGAUGGCACACAGAAAUUAUCCCUGUAGUGAUAAUUUUCGUAAUUUUUCUCAUAUUCGUCGGCAUUUCAUUUCCGAAGUUUUAUAUCAGACGCAAUAUAUUCCGUAAACAUGGAAUAUAGAAUGAAUUUCAUAGUUCCAGGUAUAAAUUUUUCUCCGUGAAAAAGAACAAGUCCACAAAAGAAGUCCUAAAUCACACGCUGUUCAUAUCGCCACAAAUAUUGUAUUUGUUUCAGAAUUCUUAGUUGCUUAUAAUGGAACUACUUGUUGAUUAUGAAGAUAGUGUCUAAUAAAUUCAGUAACAUACUGUAUAAGUCUUUGUUCUCGAGACAACGUCGACUUCAGGGUUACUGACGUGAUUCCAACAACUCACUCAGUGUAUGUUGUAUUAUCGUGCUAGGGGAAGCAAUUAUCAAAACAAACUAUGUUUUAUUUAUCUAUAAAUGUUAAUGACGUGUGUGUGUGUGUGUGUUUGUGUGCAUUUACCUAAACUACGCGCUUGAAGAGAUUACUCAUAUAAACGUAGUUGUAACCGCCCGAUGAGCUACUGUGGAAUAAUGGGACCCUUGCACCCGGAAGUGCUUCUGUCGCCGCCGGAGUGUCGGGAGAUAUUCUUUCACUCACUUCUUCCAGAACUGGUCUGCAAUGAAUUGGGCAUGCUUCCAUUUUCGUCGGUACGCUUCUGCUAUGGACUGAUCGCCUCCAGUGGGCAGGGUUCCCGCAUGCAUUCGCGGCUUUGGGUUCUCUGGCCAAAUUCUGCUCCAUGCAGUCCACGCCUGGCAUCAUGAGCUGGGUUUUGGUUGGAGCUCACGUGUCUCCAUUGUUCUGCGUCAGAAUUCUCAUGUAUCGUUGCAUUGCGGUUUGCCAAAAUGGUAUGGAAGCGCCGUUCAGUGUUUCGUAUGUAUUGAAGGGUGACCAUGCUGUCUGUCCAGAACACUGAUCUGUCGAUCUGCAACUCUAGUUCUUCUCUCAGUUGUUUGUCUGCUUUGGCCGCCAACACUGCCGCACAUAGCCCGAGCCGAGGUAUGGUUUGCUGUUUCAGAGGAGCUAGCUUGGCUCUGCCACACACAAAGGAGGUAGAGUGGGCUCCAUCUCCACUUGUGAUCCUGAGGUAGCAUACAGCCCCGUAUGCUUGCUGGGAGGCGUUGCAGAAGUGGUACAGUUGUACCAUAGUUAUUGGAUUUGCGCAUUCAGGGUGGUAACAUCGAGGGAUGCGUACUUGAGACAAGUGGGGUUAGUUCAUUUAGCCACUGCCGCCAAGCGGCUCUGUUGAGUUUGGUCAUUUGCUCAUCCCACCCGAAGCCUCGCCUGCACUCGUCCUGGAAUUUGAUUUUGGCUUGUAUGGUGCUCGGAGCGAUAAUUCUUAAUGGGUCGUAUAUGGAGCUGACCAUACUCAGGAGACCUCGCUUCGUUUGUGGCUUCGUUGGGAUCUGGAUUCGGACUGCAAGUUCGUCAUUCUCUUGAUCCCACGUGAUUCCCAAUGCUCGCUCAGCUGGGAGCCUGUCAUCCUUCAAAAGUACUUCUUUCACUUCCAUGGCUCUUUUCGUUUGUUGGACUAUUAUGAGGACCACUUUGUGGUUGCAAAUCCAUUUUGUAAGUCUGAACUCGCCUUUCUUCAUCAACUGCCUCAGUUGGUGAGUGACUAUCGCUGCCUUCCCUGGUGAUGCUACUGAAAGAAGCAGAUCAUAAACAUAGAAGUUGCGACUUGCUUUCUUAAUUUCUUCAUGGAGCCUUUGUCUGUGGUCUUAGAAUGUUCGUCGUAGUGCAUAUCCAACACAAGAUGGGCUCCACACUCCCCCGAAGAGAUGUACCUUCAUUCGGUAAGUGGCCGGGUCUCCCGAUAGUUGGUCGUCUGUCCACCACAGGAAGCGCAAGGCGUCUUGAUGCUUAGGCAGUACUCGUACCUGGUGGAACAUAACCUCGAUAUCAGCCAUGAAUGCUACCCUUUCGUGUCGGAACCUAAUGAGGACUCCCAUCAAUUUGUUGUUGAGGUCUGGCCCUUGCAUCACUUGGCUGUUCAGGGACACUGACUCAUAUGUUGCUGCACAGUCAAAACUAUUCUCAACUUCCCGGGCUUAUUUUGGUUCAAUACUGGGUGAUGUGGGAGGUACCAGGUUUUACCCCGGCACAAUGGUAAGCUCACGGUGUGGGACUCUCUCAGUAUGUCCCUUGUUGAUCAGGUUUUGCAUCUCUUCUCGAUAUCUAUGGCGGAGGUCUGGGUCUUUCAGGAGACGUUUCUUUAAGCUCGCUAACCGUUGCUCAGCUAGUUUCCUGUUAUUCGGGAGUUCCGGCUCUUCAUGACGGAACGGUAUGGGAAGUUGAUAGUGCCCGCCCACUCUCGUCACUGAAGUUGACCAUAGCACCAGGACUCUUCUGUCUCUAAACGUGUCUCCAGGCUCAGCGGCUUUUCUGAGAUGAGGUGGUUGAAUGAUAGGUGGUCACUUAUUGCAGGUCCAAUCAGUCCAUUUAUGGUCCAUCCUAGAAGUAUGCUCACCGCGAACGGCUUUCCGUUCUCCCCGGUCCUUACUUCUAACGGUGUCAGGGCUUGUGUUACAUCUAACCUUAUCAGAAGAUCCACUCUUUCCGGUGCGUGGAAAUGUGUGGUUCCUUGGAGGUGCCUCCAUUUGGCAACAGCUCUGGUGUUCACAACCGAUGCUUCCAGUGAAGAAGGCAGGUCUUUAAUAACGAGGAUUCUGGGAAUGUUGAUGGAUCGACUUCUUCUCACUCCGACGCUAGUCACCUUCAGAACGAUCUCUUUGACCUUCACGCUCUUCGUCUCCUUCAGGAUCGUGCCUAUGGAGACUGAAACAGACUUCUCUGUUAUUUGUAGUCUGUUGGUUAGGCUCUCAGUGCAGUAAGACCUGUUGCUGCCUGAGUUCAAGAGUGCUCCGGUGAUCACUGUUGUAUUCGUUUCUCGCCUUAUCUCCCGGACUUUGACCUUUAAUAUGGGGAGUGCAACUCCGCCUGGAUCUGCUCUAAUCAUAUGUCGUAAUCUUCGUGCCCCUCGCACUGGUUAUUUUCUCGAUCGUAAGUAUUUCUGGCCCAUUUAUACAAGUUUUCUCGGUUCGUGGUCACUAAUGCAACCUUCUUGUUUCGAGCCCUUUUCUCCGUAACUCUCGAGCUGGAUUCGGGUUUCCAUGGCCUAGCUCCACUGGUCGUUGAUUUCUGUGCCGACAUGAUGGCCUUGAGUUGACAGUUACCUAGCUUUUGCCGCUUGUGGUUGGGCGACACUUCUGACUGGUGUGCAUCCAUGUUGGAAGCUCUUUCCAUCCCUUAAAAACUGGCUAAAAGUUCCUUUCUUGAUGGUUCGUCCUGGUUUGGCGUGUUAUUGAGCAUAGAAUUUCUCGAGAAGUGCAGGAGAUUCGAGUGGAAGCUAUAGCAGCCAUCUAUGCAGCACCUUGUCUUCUGGAUGCACUUGGCCAUCCGGUGAGUGCGAUCUAAGCAGGCAAAACAGCGACGUUCUUCACGUAUGAAUGAAAUUCGCGCUCCAGUCGACAUGUUGAGGAAUGCUUGGCAUCUCUGCAGAGGGAGAUAUCCAGGGCACAACAGGCAAGUGCUGUCGUCCCUUCCUCUAACCUCCUCUCUUCCCGAAGUCACUAUGCCCACAGGUCUCCUUUCUGAUGAGGAAGGGUAUGGGUGUGAGCCUGUUCAUGUACUGUUCGGCUCUUCUUGUCUUUGUCCCCUCGAAGCCCUCCUUGUCCUGUCUAGCAUCUCCAGUAGAAAAUCCUUCAUCCACUCGACCCCUGGAAAAUUCCCGUGUCUCCUUUCAUAGUCAUAUGCUCAGCAUAUGACUAUGAAAGGAGACACGAUAGAGCAUAUUAUGCUCUAUCCUCAUAUCGCGCCCUGAUCUUUCCUGUGAAUCUCUUAGCCAAAGUAUUCAGUGAUUCGUAAGUGUCAAUUUCAUGCAGUUUUCCUAGCACCUUUAAGUUGCUUACGCAAUUUCCAAGAUUGUCCGCGAGCUCCUGAAGUCUUUUAAUGUCAUCUGUUCUCACGGCUGGCCCACGUAGGACCUUGCCUAUUAGUUCUUGGAUGUAGGAUUACUUGUUGCCCUGGGAUCUUCUAUUUGCAGGCACACUCUCAGGGAUUUCUUAGUGCGGCCGAUGUAGGCCGAGAGAAGUGUUUCCAAUUUUAGUGCAUAGUGUAUGGACGCCUCCCCAUUGUGUCUUUGGAAGGCAUGCUUGAACUCCCAAUACUCGUCACAAGUCCCUCCGCUGAAUUUUGGCAUCGGCCAUUAACUUUUCCAGUCUCUGGGUUGGUAGCAUCGUGUCCGAUGGCCUCCCUUCCAUCCGUCCUGGGCGUUCUCACUAUAUAUCUUGUACUUUUUUUUCCUUCUCCUAGGUUCCUGUUGGUGUCACUGCUUCCGGAAAGUGGGUAUGACAGGUGGAAACAUGUUCCCUCUCCCCCUGAGGAGAUGUUCGCGACUCUGAGGCGCUGAGUGUUGGGAACCCUCCUUGGGUGGGAGUCUAGGUGUAGCAGUUAGACACUCCUGGUUCUGGCGGUUGACAAUAUGUAUCUCAUGGAUACCUCGUCGCGGCUAUCAUCCCCUCACUCGUUUCCAGAAAAGGUUUUCCUCCUGGGAAUGAUAGCAUCUCACCAAAGUCAUCCGUAUCACCUAAAGUCUGCAGUUGCUCCAUAUGAUCUUUCAUAUUCUGCAUCAUUGCCGUCAAUUGGGUGAGCGUCUGCUGAUAACCCCCGAUUACCCUAUUCUUCCGGCCUGUUGGUUUCAUCCUUCUCUUGGGUGAAAGGGUUUCUCCACUUCGCCCUGACUGUGUGAGUGACCAACUAGCAUCUCCGUCGUUCAGGGCCUCCAGGUCUUCUAGGCUAGCUAGGCUUAUCUCCUCUGCCGUGUUCCCUUCCAUGACUGGUGGCACAGUGAACUCGAUUUGGCUCUUUCGGUGGACAGUUAUAGAUACGUUCGGUUAAGCCGGAAUGCUCUUCAACUGACGCGCCUGCUCGUUUAUAACGAUGUCACAUGACUGAGAUCAUACAAGAGAUGUCAUACAACUGAAGUCAUAUAAGCGAUGUCAUAUAAUUGAAGUUAUAUAAGUGAUGUCAUACAACGGAAGUCAUGUAAGCGAUGUCAUACAACUGAAGUCAUAUAAGCGAUGUCAUACAACUAAAGUAAUAUAAACACGUGCAUUAAGCACGAGCGAAGUCACACUAACACGACAACAGAGGCACCACAAUCAGUGUAGGGAUUCCUUACACAACUGCUAACAUCAUAAAACUGAUGCCACAAACACUACUGUGCCCUUACUCACAACGUUCCUUAACUGUCACAACUACUAUUUUCUAACAGAAAGGGCAACUCACUCGUUCUUAAAUUUUAUUUACAAUUGGAGAUGCAGUCUGGUUGUAUGCUUUGAACACUAUCUCUCCCGCGUGUACAUGAGAAUGUAAGUGACACAGAGUACACUCUUUCCUCACACGCGGUCCUCGCUGCUGGUGGCAUUUCGAUCCGGAUUGAACGAUAACACUCCUGCACGCCUGUUCGAACAAUUUUGGCACCGAGACCAGUCCUCUCUGACACUUGACCCACAUACAGAGGUGUCACAUUUCUCUACGUACACAUAUGAGUGCUAUACACAAACUCAACCCACAACCCCCUUUUCGUUGGGGUUAACUAUUAUUAUAUUAUAGGCAUCACACUUUAGUUGAUGAUUCACAAAUUCUCACAUAGGCAUCCCAGCUCUCCUGCUGUGUAGCUGCCUGGUGCUCCGGCGCCGGAAGGAAGCUCCCCGCUGAAGGUCCAUCGACGGUUGAGUCACUCGCCAGUUCUCGGUAGAUUGUAUCGGCAGACUGUAGUGUCAUGGUCACAAUGGCACUGCUGGUCUGUUUGAAACCUGAUGAUUCAUAUUAUGCUUCACGCCCUCAAAACAUGUGGAUAACUGGUGAGUUAUCCCUAGGAAGGGAUUUUCCCUAGCUUAGGUGCCGUCCAUUUUCUCUGACUUUCUGAAACCAACCUAUAUAAAGUAAAUUUGAAUGUGAGCGAGAACACCGUUGUUUUGCACCAACUUAGAUAUGUCUGAUUACAGUUAAAGCAUUCAAGAUCCGUUGUGAGUGAUGUUGAAAGCUUCAACUGUCUUUAUAGUUAGUAACACUUAUCAAGUAAGUGAGGGUCGAGUCUGCCAGUAUGAAUGACAUCCCGUGAUAUCGUCCUUGGGUAUAGCCGUGAAUUUCCAAUUGUUACUGAAGUUAGAUUAUUUUGAUGCCCAAACCUCAGAGAAUCUGAUAUUUGGAGUUUGAUUAUUGUCAGUUGUCUAUUUAAGAAAGUAAUUAAUCUCCUGAAAAGAAUAUGUCACACUCUUAUCUCCAAGAUCUCAACGUUUACCCAUAGAAGGUCCUUGCCUAGAAAUCCCAAUUAUGUUGUGAGAAUGACGUUAACAGCGUGUGUAUUUGACAUCCAUUUCACUUCUUCCUGGCAAGCCCAAUCUCUGAUUAGAUUAUAAAAAUAGACGUAAGAAAUUCACCUGACCCAUGACUGAUUUUCAUAGUUAAAUGUUCAGCAACUGAGUUGAAUGUAAUUUCUGUCAUUGAGUGAUUAGCCUUUCUGGCAUGUGUAGUGCAGAGGACUGAGUUGCCAUUUAGCUGUAUAUAAACUCGUGUUCGAGGAGAAGCGUCACAUCUCUGACGCUGUCCCAUCAUAUCUCAGGCACAGUGUGUGUGUUAGCUGAAUACCUGACAGACACAGGGAGGCCGGUAGCUGCACACCAGCUGGCUGCCUCUAGGAUGUCGUUAAUUCAGCAUGAUUAAUUUGUGCGAGUCCGCACCCUGGUGACUUGGCUCGAACUACCUCGCUGUGUGUCGGACUGUAACCGACCCAAACAGCGCUCUUUGUUUGUCGUGGUGACACCACUGUGACACCCUGGUGCACUCCUUACAGUUAUAUGGGCCAAAGUAUUAUUGUUGUAUAUGAUUGGGGAUAAUUAGCAGAAAUAUAGUUAUUCCAUGUUGAGAAGCGAACUCAUAAAUACUGAUAGUACCAGUAAUAACGUGUUAUGUGUUGUGAAUUGCAUCCUCCAUAUGUACUACCAACUGAGUUCUAGUGAAGGUACCAUAUGUAAGCUUGUCAUGUUGUGUGUUCUUUUAAAUGUACAACCAGUAAUGAUGUAAGAAGCAUGAGUAUCUAAUUGAAAUUGCAGAUGAGUAAAGUCAAGGAGUUGAUCCUUGUAGUUGUAUGUUAAUGACAUCUUUAACCAGAUUUAAUUUCAUAUUCAUAAACCAUUUUUAGAGUAUGAUAGAGGUAUCAUUUUCCCUCAGUAUCUACCUUUAUUCUUGUCCAAUAGCUUGAUACCAAAAUUACUUAACCCAUGUGCCCAAACCCUUGCCAUGCUACCAAAGGUCAGAGGUUAUGAAGUAACUAUAGGAAAUGAAAUAAUUAGACAGAACUAAUGGAGAAAAUGAAUGAAAUAAGGAAAAGAAAAGAAAAGAAGAAAAGAAGAAAGCCUCCACCCUUAUAAAUGGUUUGCAGCAGUGGGAUUGUAAUUUAAUAUAUCAAGUUGGGAAGAAUGAAUGUGAUACUGUGGGUGUUUUUUAACUGUCAUUCGUAAUAACCAUUUCUCUAAACAGGUACCUAAUAACCAUUUCACUGUAACAAAUGAGUAUUUCAGAUUGCUAAUAUUUUGUUACGUAUUUUUCCAUUGUACAGUAUAGUAUGUUAUUCUGUGAUAUUUAAGUAGGGACUUAAAUUAUUUCAUUUGGUAGUAAUUUUGUUCAGUGGAAACAGUGUUAAGGAAAUGUACAGAUUUUUUUUUUUUGGUUUUGCCGAGAAAUUGAAAUAACAGUUAAGAGUAAAUACUUCACUUGAAGUUAGGUAAGAACAAUUGCCUCAAAGAAAAAUAGAAAUCUUGUUUAAAGUAAAUUGUACUUGUAAUGCUGUUGUGUAGAAACAUGAAAUAUUCAGAGUAAUGGUAAUUGUCUGAAAAACAAAUGUCAGCUACCUAACUUAUAUAUUUUUGCAUUCUUCUUUUUUGUGAAAUCUCAGAAAAAGUGUUUAUUAUAUACCAGUGUAAUAUUUUUUUGGUGCCUUCCUACACUGAUACCAUAGCAACUGUUGUGACCACUCAAGUUAAUACUUUGAUAUUUACAGACAAUGAGUGAGCAGUGAACAUCUGCCGUGUUAAGAGUGUUGUGGGCAGUGUUCAUUUCUGAGUGUCACCUGAAGGCCAUUAUUGUACUAAGGUUAUGUAACUUAGUUUUAUUUGUAAUUGUGAAAUUUAUUUGAUGUAUUUGUUGUGGUUUCAAUAGGAAGUGUUGAAAUUCUCACUUGACGACAUAUUUUUUUUUGGCUAAUGAAUUUAUUUUAUAUAACCGAGUUGAGAGUUAUAAAAAAAUUUGUGUGUGUA
Molecule: unclassified non-coding RNA, 10105 nt
Filed under: Homarus americanus (American lobster)
Lineage: Eukaryota; Metazoa; Arthropoda; Malacostraca; Decapoda; Nephropidae
Description: alpha-(1,3)-fucosyltransferase C-like, transcript variant X3
Source: RNAcentral